UACGUAGGUGGCAAGCGUUGUCCGGAUUUAUUGGGUUUAAAGGGUGCGUAGGCGGCCCUGUAAGUCAGUGCUGAAAUAUCCCAGCUUAACUGGGAGGGUGGCAUUGAUACUGCGGGGCUAGAGUACAGAUGAGGUAGGCGGAAUUGACGGUGUAGCGGUGAAAUGCUUAGAUAUCGUCAAGAACACCUAUAGCGAAGGCAGCUUACUAGGCUGUAACUGACGCUGAGGCACGAAAAGUGUGGGGGAUCAAACAGG
RNAcentral lists this ribosomal RNA (255 nucleotides) under uncultured bacterium. RNAcentral describes it as "partial 16S ribosomal RNA". It matches the Rfam family "Bacterial small subunit ribosomal RNA", at positions 524 to 776 of the family's 1533-position model. The record is from RNAcentral.